Molecule: ribosomal RNA, 274 nt
Filed under: uncultured bacterium
Lineage: Bacteria
Description: partial 16S ribosomal RNA
Rfam family: Bacterial small subunit ribosomal RNA
Source: RNAcentral
AUACGGAGGGUGCGAGCGUUAAUCGGAAUUACUGGGCGUAAAGCGUACGUAGGCGGUUGGUUAAGUUAGAUGUGAAAGCCCCGGGCUUAACCUGGGAACUGCAUUUAAAACUGGCGAACUAGAGUUGACUAGAGGGGAGUGGAAUUUCAGGUGUAGCGGUGAAAUGCGUAGAGAUCUGAAGGAACACCAGUGGCGAAGGCGACUCCCUGGACUCGAACUGACGCUGAGGUACGAAAGCGUGGGUAGCAAACGGCAUUAGAAACCCCUGUAGUCC